RNAcentral lists this ribosomal RNA (669 nucleotides) under Athelia abscondita. RNAcentral's name for it is "partial large subunit ribosomal RNA". It matches the Rfam family "Eukaryotic large subunit ribosomal RNA", at positions 96 to 749 of the family's 3401-position model. Lineage: Eukaryota; Fungi; Basidiomycota; Agaricomycetes; Atheliales; Atheliaceae. The record is from RNAcentral.
GAGCGGGAAAAGCUCAAAUUUAAAAUCUGGCGUCCUCCGGGCGUCCGAGUUGUAAUCUGGAGAAGCGUUUUCCGCGUCGGACCGUGUACAAGUCUUCUGGAACGGAGCGUCAUAGAGGGUGAGAAUCCCGUCUCUGACACGGACUACCGAUGCUUUUGUGAUGCGCUCUCGAAGAGUCGAGUUGUUUGGGAAUGCAGCUCAAAAUGGGUGGUAAAUUCCAUCUAAAGCUAAAUAUUGGCCAGAGACCGAUAGCGAACAAGUACCGUGAGGGAAAGAUGAAAAGCACUUUGGAAAGAGAGUUAAACAGUACGUGAAAUUGUUGAAAGGGAAACGCUUGAAGUCAGUCGCGUUGGCCGAGACUCAGCCUGGCUUGCCUGGUGUACUUCUCGGUUGACGGGUCAGCAUCAGUUUUGACCGUCGGAUAAAGGUUGGAGGAAUGUGGCAUCCCUCGGGAUGUGUUAUAGCCUCUGAUUCGCAUACGGCGAUUGGGACUGAGGAACUCAGCACGCCUUUAUGGUCGGGGUUCGCCCACGUAACGUGCUUAGGAUGCUGGCAUAAUGGCUUUAAGCGACCCGUCUUGAAACACGGACCAAGGAGUCUAACAUGCCCGCGAGUGUUUGGGUGUUAAACCCGAGCGCGUAAUGAAAGUGAAAGUUGAGAUCCCUGUCG